RNAcentral lists this long non-coding RNA (252 nucleotides) under Setaria italica (foxtail millet). RNAcentral describes it as "long non-coding RNA (SITA_LNC000969)". The record is from RNAcentral. Lineage: Eukaryota; Viridiplantae; Streptophyta; Magnoliopsida; Poales; Poaceae.
GGCAACUAGGAGGGCCAAAAGACCAUUAUGUCCUAUUUUUUCUUCAGUUACAAGUUUCCGUGAAAAGUGUAAAAUGGCAUAAUUGUGAGAUAUAGCAUUGUGUCAUUCUGCAGAAUUUCAGGGCAGAGUAAAAUUCUACCGGCAAACAAAAAAUACAAGCACCACCGGCUGCCGCCCACCACCGACCUCCGCCAACUCCGCUAGCACCACCACCGCCUGCUCCGCCAGCUCCACCUCCCAUGUGCCGCUGCC